UACAUAGGGUGCAAGCGUUGUCCGGAAUUAUUGGGCGUAAGGAGCUCGUAGGUGGUUUAUCACGUCGGAUGUGAAAUUCUGAGGCUCAACCUCGGACCUGCAUUCGAUACGGGCAAACUAGAGUGUGGUAGGGGAGACUGGAAUUCCUGGUGUAGCGGUGGAAUGCGCAGAUAUCAGGAGGAACACCAAUGGCGAAGGCAGGUCUCUGGGCCAUUACUGACACUGAGGAGCGAAAGCGCGGGGAGCGAACAGG
Molecule: unclassified non-coding RNA, 253 nt
Filed under: uncultured Frankiales bacterium
Lineage: Bacteria; Bacillati; Actinomycetota; Actinomycetes; Frankiales
Description: contains 16S-23S intergenic spacer region
Rfam family: Bacterial small subunit ribosomal RNA
Source: RNAcentral